UUUUUUUUUUUUUUUUUUGCUGUUUUAAGAUUAAGCCCAUGCAUCGGGAAAGUAUAAACCCUUUUUUCCGGUGAAACCGGGGAAAGGGGUCAAUGAAACCAGUCAAUAAAUUUACUGGAUAGUCCCUUAUUACCUUGGAUACCCCCUGGUAAAUUUUAGAGCUAAUACAUGCGCACACAUCCGACUUUUUGAAAGGAUGGUAUUUAUUAGCCGCAAACCACCCGGGCUUGCCCCGUUUUUGGUGACUCAUAAUAACUUUUCGGAUCGCAUGCUUCGGCGGCGACGUGUCAUUCAAAUAUCUGCCCUAUCACCUUUUGACGGUAGGGUAGUGGCCUACCGUCGUGUUAACGGGUAACGGAGAAUUAGGGUUCGAUUCCGGAGAGGGAGCGUGAGAACCGGAUACCACAUCCAAGGAAGGCAGCAGGCGCGCAAAUUACCCAAUCCUGACUCAGGGAGGUAGUGACAAGAAAUAUCAAUGGGCGAUCCAUUUGCGUCGGCCACUUGGAAUGAGAACAGUUUAAAUCACUUAUCGAGUAUCCAUUGGAGGGCAAGUCUGGUGCCAGCAGCCGCGGUAAUUCCAGCUCCAAUAGCGUAUAUAAAAGUUGUUGCAGUUAAAAAGCUCGUAGUCGGAGUUGGGGCGUUUCUGGGUGUGCGUGCCAAUGGUGCGCGCGCUCGGCGGCGUCUUCGCCGUCGUGAGGCCUGCGGUGCUUUAUUGCGCAGUGUGUCGAGCGCCGAUUUUUACUGUGAAAAAAUUAGAGUGUUCAAAGCAGGCGUUUGCUGUGAAUACAUUAGCAUGGGAUAUUGGAAGAAGCUUUUGCUUAUUCGUUGGUUGAUAGGCUGAAAGCAUGGUCAAGAGGAACGGUCGGGGGCACUCGUAUUUCAUUGUCAGAGGUGAAAUUCUUGGAUUUUUGAAAGACGAACAGCUGCGAAAGCGUUUGCCAAGGACGUUUUCAUUGAUCAAGAACGAAAGUUAGGGGAUCGAAGACGAUCAGAUACCGUCGUAGUCUUAACCAUAAACUAUGCCGACUGGGGAUUGGUGGACGUUCCAAUCGACUCCAUCAGCACCCUAGGAGAAAUCAAAGUCUUUGGUUCUGGGGGAGUUUCCACC
RNAcentral lists this ribosomal RNA (1108 nucleotides) under Porphyridium sp. Its description in RNAcentral is "partial small subunit ribosomal RNA". It matches the Rfam family "Eukaryotic small subunit ribosomal RNA", at positions 1 to 1131 of the family's 1831-position model. The record is from RNAcentral. Lineage: Eukaryota; Rhodophyta; Bangiophyceae; Porphyridiales; Porphyridiaceae.